CAGUGACCUCGGGAAAAUAUGUCCAUGUAUGAUGAGAUCCGUAAUGACGAACAUGCUGACGAACAGAUACAGUGUUGUAGGACAUAAGGGGAAAUUGGCCUUUAAAAACAGCACAGUUUGCAAAGUAGUUCUGGCUCAGUCGAAGGAUCGAAUUCGCUCGGUGGACCCAAUUCUCUGAUUGGGCUUUUUCCCGUUCCAACCAGUGCCCCACGACUGGUAUACCAAAGGCUGUGAAGCAGUAAAGAAAUCCUCAGAGUCAGCAUUCAUGGACAGUGAUAUACUGACUGAAAUAGGUGACCUCUUAAGGAACGCUCCAAACCAGCCUGGUAGUUCCAACUACAAGAAGGUCAGUUUUGCCAGGGAAUUGAUCUGCAAGGGAUGUUCAAUGGGCUAAUUUUAGAAAUGGGUUUUGGGCAAAUAUUGUUCCAAAUAAACAUGUAUAUUAUUGUAAGUCACAUGCUAUUUUUACUUUUGGUUCACAUGAAAGAUUUGAACUUUGUCAAAAUCCAUUGGUGUUCAGCACAAUCUUAAGUAAAACUAUUUUUAAAGGCUGUAAGUGGUAUCAAUUUGAAUUUUAUUUUAAAGGCCAGGACCUUUAUUAUUUAAAAAAAACGGUGUUUUUUUUUAGUGUUUUGCCGAGUUUGAAUUUUAUCAAAAUCCUAAUGGGGAUUUCUGCCUUUGUUAUUGUUGAGGUCUGCAGCAUUAAUUGAAGAUUUAUUAUUGUUUUUUAAAAAUUAAAUUUAAAAAAAAUGUAUAUAAAGCCUUUCAGCUAAUGGAAGUGCUGCCCAAAUUUCCAAUCUACGGGUAUUAGUGAUAUUGAGAUGAAAGGAAUGUUCGCUAUAGGUGAAAUGUUGAAUAAAUUUC
Gigantopelta aegis is the source of this 864-nucleotide long non-coding RNA. RefSeq lists it as uncharacterized. The transcript has 3 exons. Lineage: Eukaryota; Metazoa; Mollusca; Gastropoda; Neomphalida; Peltospiridae. The record is from RefSeq and is a predicted model, not a curated record.